This 1087-nucleotide long non-coding RNA is filed under the name Bemisia tabaci. RNAcentral describes it as "lncRNA ENSSSA2NGG009133". Lineage: Eukaryota; Metazoa; Arthropoda; Insecta; Hemiptera; Aleyrodidae. The record is from RNAcentral.
AACCUUACUUAAUAUGAUACCCUUGUAUUAAUUUGCACUCUCAAGUUGCGCUUUAUUGUUUCAAAUUUCUUAUGCUUCUAAUCUGUCUUUUUUUUUUCUUUCAGUAUUGACUUAAAUAUCGAACUAGAAGAAGAAAAUGAAGAAGAAAUUAUUGAAAAAAGAAGGAAAAAGAGGGAGGAACUAUUGAAAGUAAGUUUGCCUCUUUCUUCUAGCUCUCGCUCUAACAACAGGUAUAUUAUCAAGCUUGUUAAUCCAUCAAAUAACUUUUAUCAUUCUUGGAUAUGAUGGGUCAGUUGUGCUGAUCUCAGAAUCUUGUUUUGAUGCUUCCAAUAAUUGUUCCUUUUAGAAACUGAGGAUAUCCUCGUGCUCAGUUUACUCAGCUGUUUCAUUUUAAACAUGGAAUUUACACAAUUUUCGACAACUGCAAAUUCUUAAUUGAUGCAUAAUGUUUCUUGCUUAGACAAUUUCGGCUGUAGUUUAAAAUUUAGUCCAGAAAAAUUGUCUUUUAGAAUUCUGAUCAUUUUUUUUUUUGCAGCGACUAGGUGCAAACACGAGUGAAGAUUCAAAUCCGCCGACGAAAGCUCCGUCGCCGGCGAGACCAACCAAAGAUACGGUCAAACUGGAGGAAAAACCGCUCAAAGAACCUGCGCCACCCACUGCAAGCAAAGUCCAUAGCAGUAGUAAAGAGCCAAAGGAGUCGCGUAGCAAAGAACCAAGCAGUAGUAGCGAACCAGCAGCGGUAACGAAGCAGCAGCAGAGCAAUAUUAGUAAAGAAGCGAAGGGAUCGAGCAGUGGCAAGGAAGCGAAAGAGUCCUCGAGCAGUAAGGAACGCAAGGAUAGCGUGAAGGAAUCAGGAAAAGAAUCUGGUCAGGAUGUAGCGGAGACACCGACGAAAGUGAAACGCAAGUCUCGCUUUGAGCAAGUUGAUCAGGAGAAGCAGACGUCUAGUUCGCAAGCAAAAGGCGAGCCAGAUAAGAAGAAAAGUGAUAAAAAUUGGGACAUGUUUGCUGAAGUUAUGGAUGGAGAAAGUUAUAGUAGCCCAGGUGUUGACGGGAAGAAACGAACUGGCCCAGAGAACCUGCUCUGA